Molecule: long non-coding RNA, 5843 nt
Filed under: Sarcophilus harrisii (Tasmanian devil)
Lineage: Eukaryota; Metazoa; Chordata; Mammalia; Dasyuromorphia; Dasyuridae
Description: lncRNA (ENSSHAG00000030778.1)
Source: RNAcentral
CCGCUCCCGGCAGCCCCCGCCGUCUCCGGACCGAGGGCCGGCGGCCGCCAUCUUUGUGAGGGGCGGCGGGCGGCGCAGACGCGAUGUCGAGGAGGAGGAGGAGCGUGGGCGGAGGCGCGGAGCCGCGGCCCAGCGUGGCCGUGACCGUGACCGUGGCCGUGACCGUGGCCGCGGCCGCGGCGGCGGCGGCCUGGCUGCGGGGCGGCCGGGAAGCUGCCUCGAGGCCCCGGCUGCUCCGCGCCGCCGAGCUGGGCCGCUACCGCGGGGGCGCGGGCGAGCCCGGCCUCUACCUGGCCCUGCUGGGCCGCGUGUUCGACGUGGAGGCCGGGCGGGCCCACUACGCGCGCGGCCGCGCCUACAGCGGCCUGGCCGGUGCGCGCCCCCGACGCGGGCCGGGCCGGGGGGGGGAUGGGGGGGGAUGGGGGGGCGUCUCCUAGGCAUCCCCAGGGGCGUGGUCUGCGCCUCCCUCCCCCCCGGGACCCCCUUCUCCUGCACCCCCACGGGCCUCCCCCGCUGAGCCCGGCCCCGUCCCUGCAGGUCGCGACGCCUCCCGAGCCUUUGUGACCGGGGACUUCUCGCGGGACGGCCUGAGCGACGACGUGUCGGACUUUGGCCCCGCGCAGAUGCUCAUCCUGCGGGACUGGCUGCUGUUCUACGAGGAGAACUACGCCUUCGUGGGUGCGGGCCUCCCUGGGCGUCCUCCCCCCCCCCCCGGGGGUCCCGGGGCCCCUCGGCCCCAAGCGCCGUCUGGGGGGAUGGGCGUGUAAAAGGGGCGCAGGAAAGUUUGGGAGAGGUUCGCCCAGCAGGGGGCGCAGCGUGGCGGGAGGGGGGCGUUGCCGGAAGAAGCUGGGGCCGAGACCCGAAGGACCCCCCCGCCCCCCCCCUGGAAAGGGGGCGGGGCUGGCGACCAGCCCCAGCCAGCGAGGGGAGGAGAGUUAGCGGCUCGGAAUAAAACCGGCCACCGGAGGCGAGGAGGCGGCUGGUCCCGGGCCGUGAGCUGGGUGUGCCCAGGUGUGAGAGCCCCUGCGGCCCGGGGCCGUGAGCUGGGUGUGCCCAGGUGUGAGACUCGGGCGCCCGGCGGGGACGCGCCCGGAAAGAGCCGCUGCCGGGACUCUGGGCGCCCGGAUGGCGGAUGCGGAAGAAGCCCCCAGACCCACGCUCUGCGGCCCCGCCCCCACUUGCCCUCUGGCGCCCUGCCCCCUCCCGCGGCCUUCAGGAAGGAGUCUGAAGGGCUCCUGGCUGCCCCUGGUUCCAGUUGUCUUAUCUCCCCUGAUCCCACGCCCUCGGGCUGCCCCGGCUGCUCCCGCUGCCCUUUGCUCCUUCCCCACCCUUGUUACUUCCAGGACCUUUGACUUAGCGUCCGUUUCCUGCUUCUCCCCUGCCCAGGGACGGGCUCCACGGCUGCGUGUGGCUUUCCCCGUUAGGGGCUGAGCUCCUUACAGGCACAUGCUGUGCUUUGCCUUUCUUCCUGUCCUCGGUGCUGAGCACUAGCGUCUGGCGCACAGUAGGUGCUCAGAAAACCUUUAUUAACCUUUCUUCCACAAAAGGACUCUUCUGGUAUUGGAGGAUGGCUGUCCGGUCCCCCUAAUAUCCCCCUCAUAUCUGUUCUCCAAAUAAAAUGCCCUCGUCUCCUUCAGCUGACCCCCACCCGGCCUGGUCUCCAGCCUCUUCCCCAUCCUUUUGGACCCCAAAGAUUUAGGAGUCCAGCUUCCUCGUUUUGUAGACCAGAAAUCAAGUCCUGGAAGAAGAAGAAGGUUUGACUCCUUGGAGAGCACUAUGGGAAGAAAAAGGUCAUUUGCCUUUCCCUGGAUUGCCCAGUCUUUCUUCUGAUCUCCCCAGCUCCGUUCUCCUCAGGUUCACUCCCAUAAGUGUCCUUGGGGCGUUCCCACUUUGUUGCCAAAAUAAUCCCCAUAAACCCCGGCCCAGGCAGCCCCAGCCCCCAAAUCUUUGAUGACAACUACCUAGAAAAUGCAGGACUCUCCACCAUCGGAGGGGUGACCAUCACAUGCAGCUCCCUGUCAUAGGUGAACCCCCUCCCCACCCUUUCCUUCUCUGUCCCUUUGCCUGGGGUGCCCUCCCCCAUUUUCUCUACUUAAGCGCUCCCCUUCUUUCAGGGUCCAGGCUAAGCCCUCACUCUCGUACAGAAGCCUUCCCCAAGGUCCCUAGGCUCCGGAACUGCUCUUCUUUGUCACAGAGCUUCCUCCCUGCCCCCUGCAUUAUCUGCCAUCCUUUGGGCCAUUUUAUUUCCCCAAUUUGGUUAAAGUUCACGGUCUAGAUUCUGGUUUGUCCGGGAGCCAGGACAAGAGGUGAGGGCUGAACUUGGAGGACGGGGCAAGGACUCGGGGCAAAGCCCAGUUCAGCACAACAGGGAGCCCUGAGUUCGCUGGUCUGGCGGGAGCCAGGAGGCCAUGAGGAAACCUGGUGGGAAGUAAAACUAGAAAGACAGACACGGCUCACACCAUGGGAGAAAGUCACCAGAUGCCCGCUGUACCAGGUGCCAGGUGGCUCUUCAAAGGCGGGUCCUAGAGAAUAGACACUGCCAAGGGAAAUGGACUCCUUGGAUCUCGGCGCUCCUCUGAGGUCAGGAGGGCGGGCAUUUUGCUUUCCUCCGACGGUCCUCCCAAGUGCCUGCUCUUCUGGUCCUCCCUCCCCAAUUAGGACUCACAGGCUGAUUCCCUGGAUGAGGACGACAGUGGGAAGAGACCCCAGACCUGCACUUCUGAACUCGGCUGUCCAGUGAUUGGUGACUUCGAGGGAUGAUGUCUUACCUGGCUCAUGAAUGGGAUUUCAGUGAGGCAGUUGCCCAGUCAUCAGAGGUCGUGGAAGACGAAAGCCAGGGGGGCUGGCAGUGACGCGGGAGGUAGUGGAGACACCCGACCAAGCUCCAAGCUCCAAGCCUUCGUGGCGCCAGAACGGAUCGUAGACGUCUUCCCGUGUUUGGGGCAGACGUACUCGUCCGGGGCUUUGAGGCCCACCCGCUGAGACGGUUUUACUGGGAAGAGGCUGUUUUGUGUGCCACAACUCCUUGGAACCGUAGGUGAGAGGUGGGGACAGGUGGACCCAAGGGUUCGGCAAGCCCUCCCACUCCGGGCGCUGGUCCUCCUGGAGUGCUCCACACUUCUCCUGGGUUACGUAGGACAUGAGCGCCUGACAUUGAGUAGUGAGCCCCAGGAUAAGGAGCGGAGGACAGGCAUUUCCCGGAGUAGCGCAGGAGGAGAUUUCCUGGAGUAUUUCUUUACAAACGCCCGCCUCGUCGCAGAGAACGAGCAUAAGGCGAGUUUGUUUUUAUUUCACCAAAGCCAGGUGGAGGGUGGCUGUCGGAGUCCAGAGUCUUUGAUUCUUUCAACGGUUUCAGGAACAUUUCAGAAACUUCCAACUGAAGCCCAUUUCCAGGCCUUGCUCCCGGCAGAACCCUGAUGCUGAGAGCAGUCUGGGCUCGUUGUGUGAUGGGCCAUCAGGAAAGAAUGGCGAGACCGGCCCAGAGCCCUCCGCCAGAUCCCUCUGCCCAGCUUUGUGACCGGAUGCUCCCCUGCGUGCAUCAGUACCCAGGCCAGGAUGCUCGCCUAAAGUUCUCAGAGAUUCCCCACCUCCAUUUCUCUGGAAGAGAAGGCCCUCUCGGUCACCCACCCCUUAAAAUCCAGUUCACACGAAUGAAGCGUUAAGUGUCCGUAAUUAAGUGCUUCCCAUGGGCAAAGCCCUGCGCCGAGUGCUGGGGAGAGGAGAAAAGCUCUCGGCGCUCAUUCCAGCUUCCCGACUCUCCGGUUGGCAAAGACCACGGAGCCCUGUGAGGCCUUCCUCAGGGACACCCGCCCCGGAUUAUUGGCAGCAGCCGCUAAGCCCCUCCGCUGUCUCCCCGCCGGACUCUAGCCUGAGGACCUGGCCCUAGUCAGGCAGCAGUUUGGGUUUUAGAAGGAUCGUUCAGACAAAAGACUUUUGCCGGCCCAGGGGAAGCUUUCCGGGGACUGAGGGGGAGCAGUAGGUUGCCGGGGCCCUGCCCUCACCCAGCGGCCGUGGCUGAGGGGACUUUGCCUUGCAGAGAGGGGGCAGGACUGAGUGUUUGGGACAUGUGUCUUGGGGACUGGUCGGGAAGCCCUGCAGGUGGGGAGACCCGGCCCCGGCCGCUCUCAUCUCGCUGUUCUCUUGCUCCCAGGAAAGCUGAUUGGGAGGUUCUACAAGGAAAAUGGAGAGCCCACUCCCGCCCUCCUCCGGGCGGAGGCCACCAUGGCACAGGGGGUGGCAGCCAGGGAGACAGAAGACGGACAGAAGCAGCAGUUCCCCCCGUGCAACUCGGAGUGGAGUUCGGCCAGCCCGGGCCGCUUCUGGUGCUCCAAACAGAGCCCUGAGGGAUGGCCGCUAUUAUUGCCCCGAUUUACAAAUGAGGAAGCUGAGGGAGACUAGGUGAAAUGACUUGCCCAGUCUGAGGCUGGAUUUGAACGGAGGACUUCCUGACUCCAGACCCAGCCAUCCUCUGGGGGAGGCCGCAGAGGUGACCGGGCCCGAAAGCCGGGGGAUAAAUGGCCGCGGCAGGAUCCGCUGCCCCCUGGAGUCUCCCUCGGGCCCGGCUUGUGUGUGAGGAGGUGCUGCUGCCCGCAGUGUCGGGGGCAGGGGAGACCCGGCAGCGGAGGGAGCAGGGAGCCUGCGGCCUUUUCGUUUGCCGGAACCUGGGCCUUUGAGAAUGAGUUUCCUGAGUCUCAGCUUCACCAACAAUGCAUCGGCACGCGCUGCCCACGCCUGUGCCCUUUGCUGUGGCCGCUUUUCCUUGGGGGCUCCCCCAGACCCCCAUCUGUCACCGCCACUGGUGCUGUAAGGGGGGAGCCCAGCUCCCAGCUGCGCUUUCUGAGUGUCAGCGUGACCCGGCUGCGCCCCUUCCCACAGUGCCGCCCCAGGCUGUCUCCUAGGCCCGGGGCCCCCAUAUUCUCAGCCAGGGCAGGGGGCUUUUUGUGAGACACCGGGAGGUCAGGGGAGUGUCCUUUGGGAACUGCCCCCCCACCCAAUCCUUGGCUCUGGGAGGCCGAGCUCCAGGGCCACUUUCUGCUCUUCUGUCCGCAGCGGAGGCGUGACCAGGGCCUGGGCCGGGGUCCCCAGAAAGCUGUAUCAGCCGGGGGGGAAGAAGCCCCGCUGUGUGUGUGUGAGAGCCACGGGCCCCCCCACCGGCCAGCCGGCCUCCGCCAGCCAUGGCGACCGUGGCGACCUGGACGACCCGAGCCUGCAGGAGUACCCGGGCUGCCCGCCGCUGGCCAGCAGCUGCACCGUGCGAGACUGAGGCCUCGGGCGGCAGCGGCGGCGGCGGCGGGAGCUGGGAGAGGAAGGAGGGGAAGGGGAGACGCCGGGAAGCUCCAGCAGAGCAGCUGAGAGGGCGGGCAGGUGCCCUCCUCCCCCUCCCCACUGGCGCCCUGCCUGAGCAAGACCAAAGCAGGUGUUGGUAGUGGGGGCCUCAGAGCCGGGCGUGGGGGGAGGGGGCGCCUUCGGGGAGCCUGGCCUUCAGGCUGGCCAGCCAAGCCACGGAGCCACCCCCGACCACGUGCAGCGGCCGGGCCACCUAUGGGGCGAAUGAGCCAAACACCGUUGUUAAGCGCCCGCCAUGGGCCGGGCCCUGGUGUCGCGCCGGAAGCGAGGCCGAAUGCAGGCCGGGCCCACUUUCUUACUGGUUUUUCCUUCUGUGGUUUCUUUUACGACGUGAUCUACGGGAAUGGCAGGACUGCAGUUUGUACCCCUCCUCCAGCUGCUCGCCCUCUCAGCAAGGGGGGGGGGGGCAUUUGGAGCCACUUGGCUUUUCAUCUUACUUGAUUUUUCCCCCAGUUACAUUCAGAACAAAUUUGAUUUGUUUGUUUUUAAGAUUUUUG